RNAcentral lists this ribosomal RNA (68 nucleotides) under Thielaviopsis paradoxa. RNAcentral describes it as "partial 28S ribosomal RNA". It matches the Rfam family "Eukaryotic large subunit ribosomal RNA", at positions 1 to 63 of the family's 3401-position model. The record is from RNAcentral. Lineage: Eukaryota; Fungi; Ascomycota; Sordariomycetes; Microascales; Ceratocystidaceae.
AAGGUUGACCUCGGAUCAGGUAGGAAUACCCGCUGAACUUAAGCAUAUCAAUAAGCGGAGGAAAGGGC